RNAcentral lists this ribosomal RNA (449 nucleotides) under uncultured bacterium. RNAcentral's name for it is "bacterial SSU rRNA". It matches the Rfam family "Bacterial small subunit ribosomal RNA", at positions 328 to 794 of the family's 1533-position model. The record is from RNAcentral.
CCCCCAGACUCCUACGGGAGGCAGCAGUGGGGAAUAUUGCGCAAUGGGGGAAACCCUGAUGCAGCGACGCCGCGUGAAGGAAGAAGUAUUUCGGUAUGUAAACUUCUAUCAGCAGGGAAGAAAAUGACGGUACCUGACUAAGAAGCCCCGGCUAACUACGUGCCAGCAGCCGCGGUAAUACGUAGGGGGCAAGCGUUAUCCGGAUUUACUGGGUGUAAAGGGGGCGCAGACGGCGAUGCAAGCCAGGAGUGAAAGCCCGGGGCCCAACCCCGGGACUGCUCUGGAAACUGCGUCGCUGGAGUACGGGAGGGGCAGGCGGAAUUCCUGGUGUAGCGGUGAAAUGCGUAGAUAUCAGGAGGAACACCGGCGGCGAAGGCGGCCUGCUGGACCGUGACUGACGUUGAGGCUCGAGAGCGUGGGGAGCAAACAGGAUUAGAUACCCGAGUACU